GUGUGGUGUGGCCAGGCACAGAGUAGGAAGCAGGUGUGAGGCUUUCCCCGGCAACUCAGGAUAUUGGUUCCGGUGGAAGGAGUGCCUUCUGUGCAUUGCUGUGCUGGGCAUGGCUCUCCUAGAGGCUGGGCUGCUGCAUCGCUAUGCCAGCUCCUCACAGGUCUCCAGAAGCAGCGCUCAGACUGUCGUGGGCUAUGUUCUGAUGGUGUUACUUUCAAUACUGUGGCUACUGAGAGAAACUCAAAGCAUCUACAUCUUUGGGAUUUUCCGAAACCCUUUCUAUCCGAAGGAUAUCCAAGCUGUGUCUGUACUCUUUGACAAACAAAGCAAGCUCCUGAAGAUUGGUGCUGUCAGAUGGAUUUUGCUAACUCUAGUGUCCCCUUUGGUGAUGGUGGCCUUCCUUGCAC
This 407-nucleotide long non-coding RNA is filed under the name Rattus norvegicus (Norway rat). Its description in RNAcentral is "long non-coding RNA NONRATT024386". Lineage: Eukaryota; Metazoa; Chordata; Mammalia; Rodentia; Muridae. The record is from RNAcentral.